Non-coding RNA from Marasmius oreades (fairy-ring Marasmius), 91 nucleotides. Lineage: Eukaryota; Fungi; Basidiomycota; Agaricomycetes; Agaricales; Marasmiaceae. The record is from the annotation of a RefSeq genome assembly.
UCCCUCUUAGCUCAGUGGUAGAGCGCUUCACUAGUAUACACGAUUGCUAUAGAAUAUGAAGAGGUCAGUCGUUCAAGUCGGCUAGAGGGAA